UACGGAGGGUGCGAGCGUUGUCCGGAAUCAUUGGGCGUAAAGGGCGCGUAGGUGGCCCGGUCAGUUUGUGGUGAAAGCGCGGGGCUCAACUCCGCGUCGGCCAUGAAUACUGCUGGGCUGGAGCACUGUAGAGGCAGGCGGAAUUCCUGGUGUAGCGGUGGAAUGCGUAGAGAUCCGGAAGAACACCGGUGGCGAAGGCGGCCUGCUGGGCAGUAGCUGACACUGAGGCGCGACAGCGUGGGGAGCAAACAGG
RNAcentral lists this ribosomal RNA (253 nucleotides) under uncultured bacterium. Its description in RNAcentral is "partial 16S ribosomal RNA". It matches the Rfam family "Bacterial small subunit ribosomal RNA", at positions 524 to 776 of the family's 1533-position model. The record is from RNAcentral.